This 410-nucleotide ribosomal RNA is filed under the name uncultured Glomus. RNAcentral describes it as "SSU rRNA". It matches the Rfam family "Eukaryotic small subunit ribosomal RNA", at positions 569 to 985 of the family's 1831-position model. Lineage: Eukaryota; Fungi; Glomeromycota; Glomeromycetes; Glomerales; Glomeraceae. The record is from RNAcentral.
AGCAGCCGCGGUAAUUCCAGCUCCAAUAGCGUAUAUUAAAGUUGUUGCAGUUAAAAAGCUCGUAGUUGAAUUUCGGGGUCAGUAGAUUGGUCAUGCCUCCGGUAUGUACUGGUCUUACUGGCUCCUCCUUCCUGAUGAACCGUAAUGCCAUUAAUUUGGUGUUGCGGGGAGACUGGACUGUUACUUUGAAAAAUUAGAGUGUUUAAAGCAGGCUAACGCUUGAAUACAUUAGCAUGGAAUAAUGAAAUAGGACGUUCGAUCUUAUUUUGUUGGUUUCUAAGAUUGACGUAAUGAUUAAUAGGGAUAGUUGGGGGCAUUAGUAUUCAAUUGUCAGAGGUGAAAUUCUUGGAUUUAUUGAAGACUAACUACUGCGAAAGCAUUUGCCAAGGAUGUUUCAUUAAUCAAGAACG